AUACUUACCCGGCAGGGGAGAUAACCAUGAUCACGAAGGUGGUUUUCCCAGGGUGAGGUUUAUCCAUUACACUCCAGAUGUGCUGACCCCUGUGAUAUCCCCAAAUGUGGGAAAUUCGACUGUGUUAUGC
Molecule: small nuclear RNA, 130 nt
Organism: Erinaceus europaeus (western European hedgehog)
Lineage: Eukaryota; Metazoa; Chordata; Mammalia; Eulipotyphla; Erinaceidae
Gene: U1
Rfam family: U1 spliceosomal RNA
About the family: U1 is a small nuclear RNA (snRNA) component of the spliceosome (involved in pre-mRNA splicing). Its 5' end forms complementary base pairs with the 5' splice junction, thus defining the 5' donor site of an intron.
Source: Ensembl